UGGCACUGUCUUUGAACCUAUGGAGCCCUACUCAUGGCUACACGGGCCAAGCAACAGUGCAAAAUAAAAAGUUUGUUAUAACUGGGGCCUCUUGGCAUACCACCCAAGUUGCUCUUUUAAAAGCAAACAACAAUC
This is a small nucleolar RNA of Trichomycterus rosablanca, 135 nucleotides long. The record is from RefSeq and is a predicted model, not a curated record. Lineage: Eukaryota; Metazoa; Chordata; Actinopteri; Siluriformes; Trichomycteridae.